AUGCAAGUCGAGCGCGCCUUCGGGUGAGCGGCGGACGGGUUAGUAACGCGUGGGAACGUGCCCUUCUCUACGGAAUAGCCUCUGGAAACGGAGAGUAAUACCGUAUACGCCCUUUGGGGGAAAGAUUUAUCGGAGAAGGAUCGGCCCGCGUUAGAUUAGGUAGUUGGUGGGGUAACGGCCUACCAAGCCUACGAUCUAUAGCUGGUUUUAGAGGAUGAUCAGCAACACUGGGACUGAGACACGGCCCAGACUCCUACGGGAGGCAGCAGUGGGGAAUCUUAGACAAUGGGGGCAACCCUGAUCUAGCCAUGCCGCGUGAGUGAUGAAGGCCUUAGGGUCGUAAAGCUCUUUCGCCUGUGAUGAUAAUGACAGUAGCAGGUAAAGAAACCCCGGCUAACUCCGUGCCAGCAGCCGCGGUAAUACGGAGGGGGUUAGCGUUGUUCGGAAUUACUGGGCGUAAAGCGCGCGUAGGCGGAUUAGAAAGUUGGGGGUGAAAUCCCGGGGCUCAACCCCGGAACUGCCUCCAAAACUGCUAGUCUAGAGUUCGAGAGAGGUGAGUGGAAUUCCGAGUGUAGAGGUGAAAUUCGUAGAUAUUCGGAGGAACACCAGUGGCGAAGGCGGCUCACUGGCUCGAUACUGACGCUGAGGUGCGAAAGUGUGGGGAGCAACAGGAUUAGAUACCCUGGUAGUCCACACCGUAAACGAUGAAUGCCAGUCGUCGGAUAG
This 726-nucleotide ribosomal RNA is filed under the name Phaeobacter sp. 6362. RNAcentral's name for it is "bacterial SSU rRNA". It matches the Rfam family "Bacterial small subunit ribosomal RNA", at positions 55 to 830 of the family's 1533-position model. The record is from RNAcentral. Lineage: Bacteria; Pseudomonadati; Pseudomonadota; Alphaproteobacteria; Rhodobacterales; Roseobacteraceae.